RNAcentral lists this ribosomal RNA (393 nucleotides) under uncultured bacterium. RNAcentral's name for it is "partial 16S ribosomal RNA". It matches the Rfam family "Bacterial small subunit ribosomal RNA", at positions 523 to 918 of the family's 1533-position model. The record is from RNAcentral.
AUACGGAGGAUCCGAGCGUUAUCCGGAUUUAUUGGGUUUAAAGGGUGCGCAGGCGGGAGAUUAAGUCGGCGGUGAAAUUUUGCAGCUCAACUGUAAAAGUGCCUUCGAUACUGGUUUCCUUGAGUGUGGAUAAAGUAGGCGGAAUUUGUGGUGUAGCGGUGAAAUGCUUAGAUAUCACGAGGAACUCCGAUUGCGCAGGCAGCUUACUAAACCACUACUGACGCUCAGGCACGAAGGCGUGGGGAUCAAACAGGAUUAGAUACCCUGGUAGUCCACGCAGUAAACGAUGAUUACUGGCUGUUUGCGAUACAAUGUAAGCGGCUGAGCGAAAGCGUUAAGUAAUCCACCUGGGGAGUACGUUCGCAAGAAUGAAACUCAAAUGAAUUGACGGGG